CGAAUUCGUUCCCUAAGUUUUUCCCAAUCCUCAUUCUGCCGAGAGGAAGUGAUGUUCAAUUCAGCCGCGACAUCAUCAUCAACUUCCAACUUCUUGUACUACUCGACCAAGGACUUAGUUCGCUCAAUUCCCUGGGAGGCGUUGCGCUUUUUAACGGCCAUUCUCGCCCUGCAGUCGUCCAUUAUGGCUUGAAGUUCCCUCAUCUGAGCAGCCAAGUUAACCAUCAAAGAGUCUUCAACCAUGACUUCGGAAGAGAUUUCUUUCAACUCGUCCUUAGCCUUGUAAAUCUCCAUACGCAAAGACUCUUUCUCAGCUACGGCUCGAAGAUAUUGAGUACGCUUGGCCUUUAGUUCAGCAUUCUUGGCCAGUAUAGAAAGGAUCUCAAAGUGGAUAACCUUCAACGUCGCUUUAAAAUCGGCAGGAAGAUUGAGUGACGGAAGCAUCAGUGCUUGCUCCAACUUCGCACUCAAGUGUUCAAGUUCAUCCUUGUGUCUGGCAGCACUAGCCCUUCCAAUAUCCAUAUCCAUGAAGGAUACGUACUCAAAUAUCGACUCCUUGAGGAACUUCAAAUCUUCCUCUGAAGAAGUAGCAGGACGAUCAGAUGGAGCAAGGCGAGACGUCUGGACUUGCCCCUAGGAAGUGAACAAGUCUUGGAUAGAACGCACAAUCCUAUCAGCA
RNAcentral lists this long non-coding RNA (678 nucleotides) under Olea europaea subsp. europaea. The record is from RNAcentral. Lineage: Eukaryota; Viridiplantae; Streptophyta; Magnoliopsida; Lamiales; Oleaceae.